RNAcentral lists this ribosomal RNA (497 nucleotides) under uncultured bacterium. RNAcentral describes it as "partial 16S ribosomal RNA". It matches the Rfam family "Bacterial small subunit ribosomal RNA", at positions 28 to 507 of the family's 1533-position model. The record is from RNAcentral.
GAUGAACGCUGGCGGCGUGCCUAAUACAUGCAAGUCGAGCGAACGGACGAGAAGCUUGCUUUUCUGAUGUUAGCGGCGGACGGGUGAGUAACACGUGGAUAACCUACCUAUAAGACUGGGAUAACUUCGGGAAACCGGAGCUAAUACCGGAUAAUAUUUUGAACCGCAUGGUUCAAAAGUGAAAGACGGUCUUGCUGCCACUUAUAGAUGGAUCCGCGCUGCAUUAGCUAGUUGGUAAGGUAACGGCUUACCAAGGCAACGAUGCAUAGCCGACCUGAGAGGGUGAUCGGCCACACUGGAACUGAGACACGGUCCAGACUCCUACGGGAGGCAGCAGUAGGGAAUCUUCCGCAAUGGGCGAAAGCCUGACGGAGCAACGCCGCGUGAGUUAUGAAGGUCUUCGGAUCGUAAAACUCUGUUAUUAGGGAAGAACAUAUGUGUAAGUAACUGUGCACAUCUUGACGGUACCUAAUCAGAAAGCCACGGCUAACUACGUG